UUAAAGAGAAAGAAGAAAAAUAUUCAAUUUGGAGUGUUAAUCGGUCAUCUUCUCCAUUGAUAAUAACUCUUUUCUUUCUCUCACUCUCUCUUCGACUGCGUUUUCGAUUGGGAAUUUCUCAAGCUUCUGAUCCGACGGCUCAGGAUCUCUUGGUCCCUCUAAUCGUACGCCUAAGAUUUCUUUGUCAGUCUCACCUCUUCUUCUCUCUCCAUCUUUACGGAGCUGAACUUCUCUGACGGUCAGCCCAUGGAGUUUAAUGGUGAUAGGAGAUUACGGGCAAACCAUCAUAGUAGUCGAGAAAAUGGUGGUGUUAAUCAUUUUAGUGCUACUGAUGACCUUGAUCCAUGGACAGCAUGGGCAUACAAGCCUCGGACCAUUUCGAUGUUACUUAUCGGUGCAUGCUUUCUCAUUUGGGUAAGCGGGGUCUUGGAUCCAAAAGGCAGUGCAUCUGGAUAUGUUGUUACAUCAGUUAAAAGG
This is a long non-coding RNA of Humulus lupulus (European hop), 477 nucleotides long. RefSeq lists it as uncharacterized. The record is from RefSeq and is a predicted model, not a curated record. NCBI's taxonomy places the organism in Eukaryota, Viridiplantae, Streptophyta, Magnoliopsida, Rosales, Cannabaceae. The transcript is spliced from 3 exons.